This 1910-nucleotide ribosomal RNA is filed under the name Rostrostelium ellipticum. RNAcentral's name for it is "bacterial SSU rRNA". It matches the Rfam family "Eukaryotic small subunit ribosomal RNA". The record is from RNAcentral. Lineage: Eukaryota; Evosea; Eumycetozoa; Acytosteliales; Acytosteliaceae.
AACCUGGUUGAUCCUGCCAGUAGUCAUAUGCUUGUCUCAAAGAUUAAGCCAUGCAUGUCUAAGUAUAAACCUUUAUACGGUGAAACUGCAGACGGCUCAUUACAACAGUGAUAAACUAAUGGACUUUCGCGCCUUUAAAAGCGUCUUGGAUAUCCGCAGUAAAUCGGGGCUAAUACAUGCAAACGAAAGGGUGAGCGGGUAACCGCGAGCCUUUGCAAUUAUUUUAGCUUUUGCUACCAACCUCUUAGGAGUUUGUGUUGAAUCCGAAUAAUUUUGCUGAUCGGAAUUUUAUUCCGACAAGUUCAAAGUGUCACUGCCCUAUCAACUUUCGAUGGUACGGUAUUGGCCUACCAUGGUUGUAACGGGUAACGGGGAAUCAGGGUUCGGUUCCGGAGAGGGCGCCUGAGAAAUGGCGACCACUUCUACGGAAGGCAGCAGGCGCGCAAAUUACUCAAUCCCAAUACGGGGAAGUAGUGACAAUAAAUACUGAUGCCUUUCCAUUUUAUGGAGGGUAAUUAGAAUAAGUACAAUUUAAAUCGCUUAGCCAAAGUGAUUGGAGGGCAAGUCUGGUGCCAGCAGCCGCGGUAAUUCCAGCUCCAAUAGCAUAUACUAAAUUUGUUGCAGUUAAAAAGCUCGUAGUUUAGAAUGAAAUUUUUCGAGGGAUUUUGAUUUUACAAUCUGAACCCUGUCUUAAAUUGCCUUACGGGUUAAUUUUUGACUGUCUCGAUAAUUUCAAUUUUGCCUUUAGGCAUUUAUGUCUAUUAGGUAGGUCCACUGUGAGAAAAUUGUGGUGUUUAAAGCGGACGUUUUUGUUUGUUCAUUGCAGCAUGGUAUGGUAAAACAAGACACUGUUCACUCGUUGGUUGUGAAUCAGUGUAAUGACUAAUAGGGAAGGACGGGGCCGUUCAUAUUGAUGGGCGAGAGGUGAAAUUCGUUGACCCUAUCAAGAUGCACUACAGCGAAAGCAUUCGGCAAGUACUUCCCCAUUAAUCAAGAACGAAAGUUUGGGGAUCGAAGACGAUCAGAUACCGUCGUAGUCCAAACCAUAAACUAUGUCGACCAGGGACUGGACGGAUGAUUUUUAAAAAACUCGCUCAGAACCUUGUGGGAAACCAUGAGUGUUUGGAUUCCGGGGGGAGUAUGGUCGCAAGUCUGAAACUUAAAGGAAUUGACGGAAGGGCACACAAUGGAGUGGAACCUGCGGCUUAAUUUGACUCAACUCGGGAAAACUUACCAAGCUCAGAUAUAGUAAGGAUUGACAGACUAAAAGAUUUUUCAUGAUUCUAUAAGUGGUGGUGCAUGGUCGUUCUUAGUUGGUGGAGUGAUUUGUCUGGUCAAUUCCGAUAACGGACGAGACCUCUACCUACUAAAUAGUGGUAUUUAUUUUGUCGUUAUGGGGGAUAGUUAGUUGGCGAGAGUAGUAGGUUUUCGGAUUUAUUAUUUCUCGUUGAUUGGUGUGUACCUCGAUAAGAUAGAUUACUUCUAAAAAUAACUUCUUAGAGGGACUACCCACCUCAAGUGGGGGGAAGUCGGAGGCAAUAACAGGUCUGUGAUGCCCUUAGAUACCUUGGGCUGCACGCGCGUUACAAUGAAAGCGUGAAAAAGGCUCCCAGCACCGGAGGGUGUUGGAAAUCAUAUGAAUCACUUUCGUAAUGGGGAUUGACCUUUGUAAUUAUCGGUCAUAAACGAGGAAUUCCUUGUAAGCGCAAGUCAUUACCUUGCGUUGAAUAUGUCCCUGCCCUUUGUACACACCGCCCGUCGCUCCUACCGAUCGAACGAUUAGGUAAAACUGACAGAUUGUUUUGUAAGGUAGCAAUAUUUUACAGAAUGAAAAGUUAUUUAAAUCUCAUUGUUUAGAGGAAGGAGAAGUCGUAACAAGGUAUCAGUAGGUGAACCUGCAGAAGGAUCAA